AGGUUUCUCUCAAUUUUUUUUUAGCAAAUUAAAUUCAUGUUGAUUGCCUAGUUUCUCUUGCUUUUGUUGGGUUUUAUUGUUGCUGUGGUGCUGUUAAAUAUUGAGGUUAAGUUACCAGCAAGAUUGAAGAGAGAGAGAUAGCUUUUGUGUAUGCAUGCUAUAUGUUUGAUAAAAUGUCAAAAAUGGAAAAUCGAAUUAAAAUGUUAAUUUUGUACAUAUAUUGUUGUUAAAAUGAAUAAUCAUGACUAGUUAAUGGUUUGGAGAGGUUGUUUAAUUAAAGUUUUGUGUCGAUUUUGUAGUCUAAAAGGCAAAAAAUAUGAAUUUUAGGGGCUGUUUUGCUUUAAUUUAGCCCUUUUAUGUUGUUUUCUUAUCAAAUUAAAAUCAUAGUUGUAUUGUAAAAGCUGUAAGGAGUGUUGUAGUAUAAUUUUUAUGAUUUUUAGUGAAGAAUAUGGUGUUUUGAAAAAAUAAAAAAUGGGCUGUCUUUUACUAUUUUCGCCACUUUUGGUUCUUUUUUUGUAAGAACUAAGCACAAAAAUGGAAUCCACGUGAAAAAUCAAAUGAGGGGGUGUAUUGUGAGAAAAUUUGGUGACCGGAAAAUUUGCCGGCGUCCGGUAGCGGUCCGGCGGUGGCGCUGCCAGAGGCGGCCAUGGCCGCCAGCAGGAAGAAGCUUUAGCUACUCGAGUGGAAGAAGAAGAAAGAAGAAGAAGAAGAAGAGAAAGAAAAAGAAAGAAAAGAAAAAAUGAAUGGGCUAAUGUUUUUUUUUUCUAGUGGGCUUGUGAUUAUUUUGGUUGGUUCCUAGGAAUGGAUUUUGGUUUAUUUCUUUUGGGUUUCGGCUUGGGAUAGGAGGCCAAAGUCCAUACAUUUUUUGUUUGGGCUUGAGUGAUAAAAGAUUUGGCUGGACUGUUUGCUUCCCUUGGACUUUCGGCUGGGCUUAGAGAUUUUGGCCCAAAGACACAAAAUGAUGGCCCAAUGGCCUGUUUUUCUUAAGAAGAUCUUAUGCGAAUUUGCACUUUAGCCCCUGAUCAUUGGAGUAGCUUUACUGUGUCUCAGAAAAUUUUAAAUUUCU
RNAcentral lists this long non-coding RNA (1066 nucleotides) under Coffea arabica (coffee). Its description in RNAcentral is "long non-coding RNA (CARA_LNC000206)". Lineage: Eukaryota; Viridiplantae; Streptophyta; Magnoliopsida; Gentianales; Rubiaceae. The record is from RNAcentral.